Molecule: long non-coding RNA, 685 nt
Filed under: Gossypium barbadense (sea-island cotton)
Lineage: Eukaryota; Viridiplantae; Streptophyta; Magnoliopsida; Malvales; Malvaceae
Description: long non-coding RNA (GBAR_LNC020077)
Source: RNAcentral
UUGAUCGUAGGUGUUGAUCUCAACAUCUCAGACCAGCAGUAAAAUUAGAACCUAUUCGUAUUGUACAAGCCCAAUAAUGCCCGGGCCCAAGCAAACAAAUAUGCCCGGGCCCAAAACCCAAAUUAACCUAGCCCAAACAUUAACCCAAAACCUAGCCCACACAAAAACAAAAUAACAGAAACCCUAGGAGCCUAUUCGCUUCAGCACUGCCGCCGCUCACCCUCACACGCCGCCACGAAUCUCGCACCACGACCCUCCCCAGCAUGCGCGCACUCCCCAUUAGCCUCCAAACCUGCGAAAAAGGAGGUAUACAACGCAACAAUAGCAACAAAAGCAACAAAUAUCGUUGGGGAAAUAUUUUUAUAUUUAUUUAUUAUUAUUUUCUUUCGGCUAUAAAAAGGGGCCGCUAUCAAAUCUGUAAAGGGGGGAAAGGGUUGUAAAAAACACUGAAAUACAAAAAUAAAGAAUCAAAAGCAGUUUUUGGAAGGUGAUUCGUUUUUCUUUUCUCGGAGAUUUUCUUCUCAUUAUUUCUAUUUUCGUUUCAUAUUUUUUUAUUUUUUUUCUGAUAUUUAAAAAAAAAAGAAUAAAGAAGGAAAAUGGCGCUUACCUGGGUUCGGGCGUUGGUUUCGAGGGCCGUACGUGGUGGCUCCACGGCGGCGGCGGCAUGAAGGGGCUAGGGUUGAAC